UUGCACAUGAAAUACAUUAAUCAAUAUAACUUCCUCAUUAUUAUAUGGACCUUCUCCCUAUACAAAAUGGAAGUAUGGGCCAUCUGAUCAUUUAACGUAAAUACUUCCACAUGAGUGCAUCCUGUUGCACGAUCAGUACCUCGAGUGCUGGGAGCAGCAACAGAAACUUCCAACCAGAUCUCACCCAACCUUACCUGCCUCCACCCUCCUUGUCUUCUCAUACAAAGGACAUCUCUAAAUCUGAGGCAAAAAAUGCAACUUCCAUCAUGAUAUCCUAUCUUAGUCGCUGUGAAGUUUUCUAUUCUGGCAUCUGUUUAUAUACCAUCUAGCAUAUUUUUUUAGCCCAAUGCUAAUCAUUACUUUGAGGCUUGCAAGCAUAACAAAUGUCAUUGCGGACAGAAGGAAAAUCCAAAAGAGCCUCCAAGGUAGCGGAUUAUAGGGAAGAUGAGCAGCAAACACAGGACGUAACACACGGAUUACCACACAAGCAGGCGCCAAAGGGACAAAAGUGAGAUUAUUCUUUACAUUGUCUGUUUGGAUAUUCAGUGUCUGCUUACACAGAUCUUCAAGAAAUUCUGAAAACGCAAUCGGUUUGAUGUUGUUAAAUUUUGCAAUGAAUGAAUGCUUGAUGAUAUCAAUUGUCAUCUCACUUACAUAGACAACGAGUGCAUUACAAAGAAAACUUUCAAACCAAGGUCCAUCGGCCUCCAGAAGGUUUUGAGCUAAGACGAAUAAGAGAAAUGCUGAAA
Molecule: unclassified non-coding RNA, 749 nt
Filed under: Hevea brasiliensis (rubber tree)
Lineage: Eukaryota; Viridiplantae; Streptophyta; Magnoliopsida; Malpighiales; Euphorbiaceae
Source: RNAcentral